Molecule: ribosomal RNA, 387 nt
Filed under: Triticum aestivum (bread wheat)
Lineage: Eukaryota; Viridiplantae; Streptophyta; Magnoliopsida; Poales; Poaceae
Description: partial small subunit ribosomal RNA
Source: RNAcentral
AUGACCUUUACUCCCAUCAAGCUUCUAGAUCCUAUUUGUAUUGAGAGGAUGAGGCGUAAGCAUAACAUUGCAUCUGGUCUUCUUGUUGAACAGGUGUCAAAAGAAUUGAAUGCUGAGAAACUUGGAAUCCGCAUGGGUGAUGUUAUUGAACGCUUCAAUGGAGAGUGUAUUUCUAAUACAACUGAGUUGGAAAAGAUGUUGCUGGAUAUAGGCGGAGACCAUUUUGAUCAAGCAAAAGUCUUAAAGGCCGAAACAGAUGUUCGAAUUCAAAUAUUUCGUGCCACAAAACGUUGCCGAAGAGUUAGAAAUUUGACCGUAACUGUAUCGGACUGUGGAGAAGACAUCAUAGAAGGCACUUACCCUAUUACUGAUGGCCCUUGGAGAUGA